This 405-nucleotide ribosomal RNA is filed under the name uncultured bacterium. RNAcentral describes it as "bacterial SSU rRNA". It matches the Rfam family "Bacterial small subunit ribosomal RNA", at positions 97 to 518 of the family's 1533-position model. The record is from RNAcentral.
GGCGGACGGGUGAGUAACGCGUGGGUAACCUGCCUCAGUACAGGGGGAUAACAGCUGGAAACAGCCGCUAACACCGCAUAAGCACACAGCACCGCAUGGGUGCAGGGUGAAAAUAUUUAUAGGUAUGAGAUGGACCCGCGUCUGAUUAGCUAGUUGGUAGGGUAAAGGCCUACCAAGGCGACGAUCAGUAGCCGGCUUGAGAGAGUGACCGGCCACAUUGGGACUGAGACACGGCCCAAACUCCUACGGGAGGCAGCAGUGGGGAAUAUUGCACAAUGGGGGAAACCCUGAUGCAGCGACGCCGCGUGAGUGAAGAAGUAUUUCGGUAUGUAAAGCUCUAUCAGCAGGGAAGAAAAUGACGGUACCUGACUAAGAAGCCCCGGCUAACUACGUGCCAGCCGCAGC